Herpailurus yagouaroundi (jaguarundi) is the source of this 1539-nucleotide long non-coding RNA. RefSeq lists it as uncharacterized. The record is from RefSeq and is a predicted model, not a curated record. The transcript has 2 exons. Lineage: Eukaryota; Metazoa; Chordata; Mammalia; Carnivora; Felidae.
CCGGGCUGUCCGUCUUGUUCCAAAAAUAAGGGGUGGCUUCUGCGGCCUGGAAGGAGGGCUUUGUUCUGCGGGGUAUCCCUCAUGUCCAGAUACCCUCAACCGGCUCCCAUUUAUGAUGUCCCCAUGUGAGCCCCAAAUCAGGGCCUCCUUGGGGUGUGUUUAGGACCCUGGAUUUGGAGAGUGUAUAGUCCCUCUAUACUCGAGCUCCAGCCUCCACUUUCUCUGGAACCCAUGGGUGGGGCCCCCAAAGACCCCCACCCUAACCAGAAUGAGAAGGGAGAAGCGGCUUCCCAGCGGCGCCUCCAGGCUCCUCCAAGGAAGUUGCUCCUCGUCGCUGGGGGGCGCAACGGAGCCGCCGCCGAGGGGGUACCCACUGACCCGGCCUGGGCGCAGCCCGGCCCGCCGCUCGCUGCUUUUCCAGAUGUGGAGCAGGAUUGUUGGACGAGAGCUGCCCAGGAAAAAUUCCAAGUAUGAAAGCUAUAGGAAACUAAUGUUGGGUCAACCCCCCCGCCCCGCUAACCAAAUGGCCUGCCAUCAGCACUUUAGGCAAGGCUCAGCCGGCUGCCCAUCUGCCAUAAGAGAGACAGCUAUGAAAGCCCUUACUGCCUGCUGGAUGAACAGCCAAAAGACCUGAAUUCCUGGAGUGGGAUCUGAGAAAUACAUUCUCUGGAGAGACCAUUUCCUCCUGUCGCCCACCUCCACAGACUGGGUGGGGGCGGGAUGGAGGCAAUGGUUUCCAGCAGAGAAGAACCCUCCCUCCCCCCCUCCCCCCCGCCUCGCAUCCUCCAGUUACAGCUUGGAGCUCUGGAUCUCAUCAUUUUUCCCUGUCGUGAAGCAUCCUGCAAAUGUAAGAAGGACCCACAAUACAAAUCUUGUCCAUUGGACCUACGACACAGAGGUUCAACUGUCACCGAAGUCCACGGCCGCAGAAUCUCCAGGCCCCUGUAGAUACGGCCCCUAACCACGUUGUAAGGGGCUUUCGGGUCUCUUGAAGACAUCACAGACCUAAGGGGUCGUGUCUGGGUUUUUCCCAUCAUAGACAUGUUUGGCACUGAGCCCCUAAACAUCUGGCUGCUUGACUAAAGCUCCCGGGUUUUAUCAGGAGGUUCGGCCCCGUGGGGACGGAGCUUGUGAGCCCUCUCACAUUUGAAUUACCCUGAGAUACAGUCAGAAAGAGUGACAGGAAGCAGGGCAGUAUGCUCUCCACCACCAGGAUCAUUACCACCCAAGCAUCUGGAGCCCAGGUAGGCCCAGGGGACAUCUUUAGCAAGUCCCAGAAGAAAGUCCUCUGGCGUCUCCCAGCGUGGCAAGGCGGGCAGAGGUCCCCUGUCCUGGCCCGUCCUGAAAAGACGGAGUACGGUUUAACCCCGAAAAGGCAGAGGGGAAGAAAAAAGUCCCCGUUGUUAACAGCGUCCAGGGUGUGCUCUCAUUUUCCUGGGAUCUUAAGCAGAGUCAAAAAAUAUUAUUUCUUUGUGCUUUUCUAAAUAUUUUUAAUUUUUCAAAAAAAAAAAAAACCUCCUUGCCUUCCUUUCUGCCAAA